Molecule: small RNA, 572 nt
Filed under: Pan troglodytes (chimpanzee)
Lineage: Eukaryota; Metazoa; Chordata; Mammalia; Primates; Hominidae
Description: retained intron
Source: RNAcentral
UAUCAUUAUGGUCCAUUAUUGAGACCUUUAAUUUUUUCUUAAGGACUUUUUAAUCCCUAGUUGCAAUUGUUUCAAACAUUUGGGGUAAGGGAUGGGGUUAAAUGUGUCCCUUCUUGCCAGCAAGCAGAUGGCCAUUUGAAGAAUAACAGCAUCUUCCAUUGUAGGCUACAGAACAGCUGGUGAAUGAUAUCCUGAGACAGGCUUUGGCAGUUGGAUACCAGACAGCUUCUCACAACAGGAUUCCCAAAGAAAUUACAGUGAGUAAUAUUCACCAGGCCAUUUGCAACAUUCCUUUUCUGGACUUCCUCACAAACAAACACAUGGGAAUAUUGAAUGAGGACCAGUGAGCGGAGUGAGGUGCCCUGGAGAAGCAGGCUUUGAAGGCGCAGCGAAGCUGUAACUGAGGACCCUGCUGCUCGGGAAGGAGGUGGUUUCCAGUGUGACUCGGCAUGUCAUGGCUACCCAACCUUUGCCGCUGCCUGUUCCCGCGUGUCACCAGCACGCUCCACUCCAGUUGAAAUCCUCCUAGGACAGGAGUUUGUUUCCUGAGUGUGGAGUGAGGCUGUCAGUGG